GCCUGGAUAGUUCAGUUGGUAGAGCAUCAUACUUUCAAUCUGCAAGUCUAGGGUUCAAGUCCCUAUUCAGGCA
Molecule: non-coding RNA, 73 nt
Organism: Odocoileus virginianus texanus
Lineage: Eukaryota; Metazoa; Chordata; Mammalia; Artiodactyla; Cervidae
Source: the annotation of a RefSeq genome assembly